AUACGGAGGGUGCAAGCGUUACUCGGAAUCACUGGGCGUAAAGGACGCGUAGGCGGGUUGGCAAGUCAGAUGUGAAAUCCUACAGCUUAACUGUAGAACUGCAUUUGAAACUGCUAACCUAGAGUAUGGGAGGGGGAGAUGGAAUUAGUGGUGUAGGGGUAAAAUCCGUAGAUAUCACUAGGAAUACCGAAAGCGAAGGCGAUCUCCUGGAACAUAACUGACGCUAAGGCGUGAAAGCGUGGGGAGCAAACAGGAUUAGAUACCCUAGUAGUCC
RNAcentral lists this ribosomal RNA (274 nucleotides) under uncultured bacterium. RNAcentral's name for it is "partial 16S ribosomal RNA". It matches the Rfam family "Bacterial small subunit ribosomal RNA", at positions 523 to 796 of the family's 1533-position model. The record is from RNAcentral.